Transfer RNA from Rozella allomycis CSF55, 72 nucleotides. It matches the Rfam family "tRNA". From Rfam's summary of the family: Transfer RNA (tRNA) molecules are approximately 80 nucleotides in length. NCBI's taxonomy places the organism in Eukaryota, Fungi, Rozellomycota. The record is from Rfam.
GCUCAUAUAGUAUAACGGUUAGUACGUAGCGUUGUGGCCGCUAAUAUCCCGGUUCGAUUCCGGGUAUGGGCA